UACGGGGGGGGCAAGCGUUGUUCGGAAUUACUGGGCGUAAAGGGCGCGUAGGCGGGUGUUUAAGUUAGGUGUUUAAUCCCAGGGCCCAACCCUGGUCAGGCACCUAAAACUGGACAUCUUGAAUAGUGGAGAGGACGAUGGAAUUGGGGGUGUAGCGGUGGAAUGCGUAGAGAUCCCCAAGAACACCAGUUGCGAAGGCGGUCGUCUGGACACAUAUUGACGCUGAGGCUCGAAAGCGUGGGUAGCGAACAGG
Molecule: ribosomal RNA, 253 nt
Filed under: uncultured bacterium
Lineage: Bacteria
Description: partial 16S ribosomal RNA
Rfam family: Bacterial small subunit ribosomal RNA
Source: RNAcentral